RNAcentral lists this transfer RNA (68 nucleotides) under Marmota monax (woodchuck). RNAcentral describes it as "tRNA.Ala". Lineage: Eukaryota; Metazoa; Chordata; Mammalia; Rodentia; Sciuridae. The record is from RNAcentral.
GGAUUGUGGCUUAGUGGUAGAGUGCUGGCCUAGCACGAGCGAGGCCCUGAGUUCAAUCCUCAGCACCA